RNAcentral lists this ribosomal RNA (253 nucleotides) under uncultured bacterium. RNAcentral describes it as "partial 16S ribosomal RNA". It matches the Rfam family "Bacterial small subunit ribosomal RNA", at positions 524 to 776 of the family's 1533-position model. The record is from RNAcentral.
UACAGAGGUCUCAAGCGUUGUUCGGAUUCAUUGGGCGUAAAGGGUGCGUAGGCGGCGCGGUAAGUCGGGUGUGAAAUCUUGGAGCUUAACUCCGAAACUGCAUUCGAUACUGCCGUGCUUGACGACUGGAGAGGAGACUGGAAUUUACGGUGUAGCGGUGAAAUGCGUAGAUAUCGUAAGGAAGACCAGUGGCGAAGGCGGGUCUCUGGACAGUUCCUGACGCUGAGGCACGAAGGCCAGGGGAGCAAACGGG